UGGGGAAUAUUGCACAAUGGGCGCAAGCUUGAUGCAGCCAUGCCGCGUGUGUGAAGAAGGCCUUCGGGUUGUAAAGCACUUUCAGCGAGGAGGAAGGUGGUGAGCUUAAUACGCUCAUCAAUUGACGUUACUCGCAGAAGAAGCACCGGCUAACUCCGUGCCAGCAGCCGCGGUAAUACGGAGGGUGCAAGCGUUAAUCGGAAUUACUGGGCGUAAAGCGCACGCAGGCGGUUUGUUAAGUCAGAUGUGAAAUCCCCGGGCUCAACCUGGGAACUGCAUUUGAAACUGGCAAGCUAGAGUCUCGUAGAGGGGGGUAGAAUUCCAGGUGUAGCGGUGAAAUGCGUAGAGAUCUGGAGGAAUACCGGUGGCGAAGGCGGCCCCCUGGACGAAGACUGACGCUCAGGUGCGAAAGCGUGGGGCAGCAAACAGGAUUAGAUACCCUGGUAGUCCACGCUGUAAACGAUGUCGAUUUUGGAGGUUGUGCCCUUGAGGCGUGGCUUCCGGAGCUAACGCGUUAAAUCGACCGCCUGGGGAGUACGGCCGCAAGGUUAAAACUCAAAUGAAUUGACGGGGUCAUAGCUGUUUCCU
Molecule: ribosomal RNA, 588 nt
Filed under: uncultured bacterium
Lineage: Bacteria
Description: partial 16S ribosomal RNA
Rfam family: Bacterial small subunit ribosomal RNA
Source: RNAcentral